CCGUGAUGAACUAACCGUCUGUCGCUGGGGAGGAGUUCCGAUUGGGAAAUUGCAGAAAAAAUCUUAAUUAACAAAUAGCACGAUAGAUAUAUGACAUUCGCUUAAGGCAGCGCCGCUCACUUUAAAGAGUGACCUAGUUGGCACCUAGUGUAGACUGGUGUGCGUGGAUUAUUUUAUUUGUAAUGUUGUUAUACCUAAUUAGUUUAUUAGAGUUUUCUAAUUUAAACUUUUGUUUAGAAGAUUAACAGUUUUGUUAUGGAUUUGUAGAUUCGAUGAACCCUUCUGAGUAACAUCUCAAAAGUCAUAGCAAGGUAGCUUGUACUGGAA
RNAcentral lists this ribosomal RNA (327 nucleotides) under Agrocybe vervacti. Its description in RNAcentral is "partial small subunit ribosomal RNA". Lineage: Eukaryota; Fungi; Basidiomycota; Agaricomycetes; Agaricales; Agrocybaceae. The record is from RNAcentral.